This 494-nucleotide ribosomal RNA is filed under the name uncultured bacterium. RNAcentral describes it as "partial 16S ribosomal RNA". It matches the Rfam family "Bacterial small subunit ribosomal RNA", at positions 28 to 507 of the family's 1533-position model. The record is from RNAcentral.
GACGAACGCUGGCGGCGCGCUUAACACAUGCAAGUCGAACGGAAAGGCCUGCUUUCCCUUGUGGAUUGCGGGUACUCGAGUGGCGAACGGGUGAGUAACACGUGAGUGAUCUGCCCCCAACUUGGGUAUAAGCCUGGGAAACUGGGUCUAAUUCCCGAUCGGACUGCAGGGUGGUGCCUGUGGUGGAAAACGAUUUUCUAGUGGUUGGGGAUGAGCUCGCGGCCUAUCAGCUUGUUGGUGGGGUAAUGGCCUACCAAGGCGGCGACGGGUAGCCGGCCUGAGAGGGUGGACGGCCACAUUGGGACUGAGAUACGGCCCAGACUCCUACGGGAGGCAGCAGUGGGGAAUAUUGCACAAUGGGCGGAAGCCUGAUGCAGCGACGCCGCGUGGGGGAUGACGGCCUUCGGGUUGUAAACUCCUUUCGACCGCGAGGAAGCCACCUGGUUGGAAGGGUGGUGACGGUAGUGGUAGAAGAAGCACCGGCUAACUACGUG